This 108-nucleotide non-coding RNA is filed under the name Phaseolus vulgaris (common bean). Lineage: Eukaryota; Viridiplantae; Streptophyta; Magnoliopsida; Fabales; Fabaceae. The record is from RNAcentral.
GCUGAGCUAGGUAGCGCUAGCUUGUAACUCUAGUGGGGGCAUUAAGGUGAUGGAACAUGUACUAUAGGACUGAGUGGUGAUCUGUGGCACAAAUUUGCUACCACUUCU